RNAcentral lists this ribosomal RNA (806 nucleotides) under Xylaria berteroi. RNAcentral's name for it is "partial large subunit ribosomal RNA". It matches the Rfam family "Eukaryotic large subunit ribosomal RNA", at positions 82 to 915 of the family's 3401-position model. Lineage: Eukaryota; Fungi; Ascomycota; Sordariomycetes; Xylariales; Xylariaceae. The record is from RNAcentral.
AGUAACGGCGAGUGAAGCGGCAACAGCUCAAAUUUGAAAUCUGGCCCUCGGGUCCGAGUUGUAAUUUGUAGAGGAUGCUUUUGGCGCGGUGCCUUCCGAGUUCCCUGGAACGGGACGCCUUAGAGGGUGAGAGCCCCGUACGGUUGGACACCAAGCCUCUGUAAAGCUCCUUCGACGAGUCGAGUAGUUUGGGAAUGCUGCUCUAAAUGGGAGGUAAAUUUCUUCUAAAGCUAAAUAUUGGCCAGAGACCGAUAGCGCACAAGUAGAGUGAUCGAAAGAUGAAAAGCACUUUGAAAAGAGGGUUAAAUAGCACGUGAAAUUGUUGAAAGGGAAGCGUUUGCGACCAGACCUUUUCCUAGCGGAUCAACCGGUGUUCUCACCGGUGCACUUCGCUAGGUUUAGGCCAGCAUCGGUUUCUGUAGGGGGAUAAAAGCUCUGGGAACGUAGCUCCUCCGGGAGUGUUAUAGCCCUCUGCAUAAUACCCUUACGGGGACCGAGGACCGCGCUUCGGCAAGGAUGCUGGCGUAAUGGUCGUCAACGACCCGUCUUGAAACACGGACCAAGGAGUCGAACAUUUGUGCGAGUGUUUGGGUGUUAAACCCUCACGCGUAAUGAAAGUGAACGGAGGUGAGAGCCCUUACGGGUGCAUCAUCGACCGAUCCUGAUGUCUUCGGAUGGAUUUGAGUAAGAGCAUAACUGUUCGGACCCGAAAGAUGGUGAACUAUGCGUGGAUAGGGUGAAGCCAGAGGAAACUCUGGUGGAGGCUCGCAGCGGUUCUGACGUGCAAAUCGAUCGUCAAAUCUGCG